CAGUAGCCGCGGUAAUACGGGGGAUGCAAGCGUUAUCCGGAAUUAUUGGGCGUAAAGUGUCCUGAGGUGGCUGGUCCAGUCUGCUGUGAAAGUCUGGGGCUUAACCCCAGAAAUGCGGCAGAAACUAGCGAGCUAGAGUACGGUAGGGGCAGGGGGAAUUCCCGGUGUAGCGGUGAAAUGCAUAGAGAUCGGGAAGAACACCGAUGGCGUAAGCACCCUGCUGGGCCGAUACUGACACUGAAAGACGAGAGCUAGGGGAGCAAAUGGGAUUAGAUACCCCGGUAGUCCCUGUCUCUUAUAC
This 301-nucleotide ribosomal RNA is filed under the name uncultured bacterium. RNAcentral describes it as "partial 16S ribosomal RNA". It matches the Rfam family "Bacterial small subunit ribosomal RNA", at positions 509 to 807 of the family's 1533-position model. The record is from RNAcentral.